GGCAUAACAAUCGAUGUCAAUAGUAGCGUGAUAACACUAGGGAGGGAGACAGCUUGGGAGUACAUUCACUUUCCUCUACGAUACCGAUAACAAGUGCUCUGCCUACCAGCGGAAAAAUAAUUUAUAUUAUCAUAGCAUAAUUCAGUGCAUUGUGAAAAGCAACAGUUUAAGAUUUAUUGCUACUGCUGGAGCUAAUUCCAAUUCUUUUCUGUGUGCUUGCCUGCUUUGCACCUUUAACACUCUUCUCUUACGCUAGAUUGCACUAACCUUUGUCCUGCCUUCAAUAUGGGAGUUGCCGAAAUAUUCUCAGCAAUUUUGUGGUUUAUUGUUCUAAUCUUCCUUGCAUGGCCUAUUGGGUUCCUUGCUGCUGGUCUUUAUAUCUUCAUAAUGCCGUUUGCUGUUUGUAUGAGUUUUUGUGGAGAAAUAUCUGAAAUGGUUCAAAAAGUGUUCGAACUGCCAAAAACAGUGACUGAAAAUAUGGUCAAUAUGAAACCUAUAUGUGACAAGUAGAUUUGCUUGAUUUACUGGCUGACCUGAACUGUGACCUGUUAUUAAUAUGGCCCCCGGAUGUCCUGGAAUUUGCUGGUCUAUAUGCUGGGUACUAAUUUUGAUCUUCUUCGCUUGGCCAGUAGCAUAUUUCGUGGCUGGACUCUACGUCUUCAUACUCCCAUUUGCUGUGUGCAUGAGUUUCUGCAAGCCCAUCAAUGAGGUUCUCGAGAAAAUAUUUAAGCUACCGGAGACUUGUGCGGAGGGAGUUAUGGGUCAAAAACCAGUCUGUUCGUGAAGGAAUUACAUGUUAGCAUCAAGAUUAUAAGAAGAAAUCUCUGGCAAAAUGAAUGAACUUUGCACACCAAAGAAUAUUAGAAAGAAAUUUAAGUGCAGUAGUAACCUUUUGUACAAUAAAUUAUAAAAAUAAAAAUAAAAUAUUAUCAUUAAAAAGAGAUACUUUUCAUCAGGGUUGAACUCCGUGUUUGUGGUGCACCCCCAAAAAGAGCUGUAUUUUAUCCCAGUUAGUAGCUUCUAGUAUGUAGGCCUGCAACAGGUCAAUUGUUCAAAUCCCAGCGAGGUAAAUUUGUAUAUCUGCCUAGUACAUAUUUAUUAUGAGAUCCAGAUAUAUUAUUUUUGUAAUGAUCUCAUAGAUAAACAUUUACUAUAUUUCUCCUAGGAUAUAAGCCCACCCCCUACUCUAUGCUUAAUUUUAUAUACCAGCCUUUUCUCGAGCAAAAGCCCAGGGUAUGACAUUUACAAAUAUUGAAAAAAAACAAAAACACAUCAAAUAUUGGCUUUAAAUUAGGUAUACAUUUCUAUAGAAUUACCAUAUUUGAUUGAAAAGGGAAUUCUCCGGGUCCCACCCCCAAAAAUUGGCAAAAUUUUG
Anneissia japonica is the source of this 1375-nucleotide long non-coding RNA. RefSeq lists it as uncharacterized. The record is from RefSeq and is a predicted model, not a curated record. NCBI's taxonomy places the organism in Eukaryota, Metazoa, Echinodermata, Crinoidea, Comatulida, Comatulidae. The transcript has 3 exons.